Molecule: ribosomal RNA, 383 nt
Filed under: uncultured bacterium
Lineage: Bacteria
Description: bacterial SSU rRNA
Rfam family: Bacterial small subunit ribosomal RNA
Source: RNAcentral
AGCGAACGCUGGCGGCAGGCCUAACACAUGCAAGUCGAGCGCCCCGCAAGGGGGAGCGGCAGACGGGAGAGUAACACGUGGGAACGUACCCUUCGGUUCGGAACAACCCAGGGAAACUUGGGCUAAUACCGGAUACGUCCGAAAGGAGAAAGAUUUAUCGCCGAGGGAUCGGCCCGCGUCUGAUUAGCUAGUUGGUGGGGUAACGGCCCACCAAGGCGACGAUCAGUAGCUGGUCUGAGAGGAUGANCAGCCUCACUGGGACUGAGACACGGCCCAGACUCCUACGGGAGGCAGCAGUGGGGAAUAUUGGACAAUGGGCGCAAGCCUGAUCCAGCCAUGCCGCGUGGGUGAUGAAGGCCCUAGGGUUGUAAAGCCCUUUCGGC